This is a long non-coding RNA of Pogoniulus pusillus (Red-fronted tinkerbird), 810 nucleotides long. RefSeq lists it as uncharacterized. The record is from RefSeq and is a predicted model, not a curated record. NCBI's taxonomy places the organism in Eukaryota, Metazoa, Chordata, Aves, Piciformes, Lybiidae. The transcript has 4 exons.
ACAACUCUUCUGUUGGGAGAAGUUGUGUUUUACUUCACUUGAAGAAACUGAAAGGAGUUUAAACGAGGUAGUUGAUUCUUCUGUACCUAUUUGACUAAGCAGCUAGCUCAAUGUGACCACUGCAUUUUCCUGCACUGGAGCAGCUGAAGAAGUAAUGCCCUCCGUGGGAGAGCAAAACAACCAAGUCCACAGUAGAGUGACCCAGCCUGCAGCAAAAAGCUCACCUCAGAGGGACCCUGAGGAUUUCCAUCAGGACAAGACUCUAUCGCUGUGGAGAGGGGGAUGUGUAGCUGUGAGGAACAUUAAGAAGGCUUCUUGCAUCCAUUUCACAAGUGCAUCUGGGCAAAGGAAAAUGACAAAAAGAGACACUAGAAAAGUCAAAGUAGGCCAAAGAAGGAUUUCUUCUAGGAAUAUCGAUGUUGCCGCACUGAAACAGGUGUGUACCCCAAUGGAGUAUUAUGAUUUUCUUUGGCCACUGCAAGCAAAAGUGAGUAUCUAGGAAUUUAUACAUAGCUGCAUGUAUACAGAGAUACCACUGCUGCUGGAGAUCAAAGAACAUACUGUUGAUGCCUCUUGCAGUAGUGGUACCUGGGACCCAAGAGACUUGCAUGAAGGGUGUUGAGAUGGGCUCGUUUACUGAAAGGUUUAUGGUUGAGAUCGGUCCACAGCUGAUGGAUCAUCUGGUUAAAGUUGCUCUUAGUCACAAAUAAACAAAGGGAAUGAUAGAAAAAACCCAACCCAAACUCCAAAACUCUAGGCAGCAUCCAUCCGGGAACAGCAGGAACAGGACACCAGACAAAUGUCCUCCUC